This 89-nucleotide transfer RNA is filed under the name Fusarium langsethiae. It matches the Rfam family "tRNA". Rfam says of the family: Transfer RNA (tRNA) molecules are approximately 80 nucleotides in length. Their secondary structure includes four short double-helical elements and three loops (D, anti-codon, and T loops). The record is from Rfam by way of RNAcentral. Lineage: Eukaryota; Fungi; Ascomycota; Sordariomycetes; Hypocreales; Nectriaceae.
GGCCGCGUGGCCUAAUGGCUAAGGCGCUAGAUUUCGGUUUUCAGCAUCUGAUUCUCUAGAGAUUCCAGGUUCGACUCCUGGCGUGGUCG